Non-coding RNA from Schistosoma mansoni, 45 nucleotides. The record is from Rfam. NCBI's taxonomy places the organism in Eukaryota, Metazoa, Platyhelminthes, Trematoda, Strigeidida, Schistosomatidae.
AUCUGGCUGACGAGUCACAAAUAGGACGAAACGCGCUUCCUGGAU